UACGUAGGGUGCAAGCGUUGUCCGGAAUUAUUGGGCGUAAAGAGCUCGUAGGCGGUUUGUCGCGUCGAAUGUGAAAACCCGGGGCUCAACUCCGGGCCUGCAUUCGAUACGGGCAGACUAGAGUUCGGUAGGGGAGACUGGAAUUCCUGGUGUAGCGGUGAAAUGCGUAGAUAUCAGGAGGAAUACCGAUGGCGAAGGCAGGUCUCUGGGCUGACACUGACGCUCAUGCACGAAAGCGUGGGGAGCAAACAGG
RNAcentral lists this ribosomal RNA (253 nucleotides) under uncultured bacterium. Its description in RNAcentral is "partial 16S ribosomal RNA". It matches the Rfam family "Bacterial small subunit ribosomal RNA", at positions 524 to 776 of the family's 1533-position model. The record is from RNAcentral.